This 264-nucleotide long non-coding RNA is filed under the name Coturnix japonica (Japanese quail). RNAcentral's name for it is "lncRNA (ENSCJPG00005002351.1)". The record is from RNAcentral. Lineage: Eukaryota; Metazoa; Chordata; Aves; Galliformes; Phasianidae.
CAUUGAUCCCAAUCCCAUUGAUCCCAUUAAUCCCAAUCCUAUUAAUCCCAAUAUAAUCCCAAUCCCAUUGAUCCUAAUCCCAUUAAUCCCAAUAUAAUCCCAAUCCCAUUGAUCCCAUUAAUCCCAAUCCCAUUAAUCCCAAUCCCAACCCUAAUCCCAUUAAUCCCAAUCCUAUUCCCAUUAAUCCCAUUAAUCCCAAUCCCAUUAAUCCCAAUCCUAACCUUAAUCCCAAUCAUAAUCCCAAUCCUAAUCCCAAUCCCAAUA